Molecule: long non-coding RNA, 1826 nt
Organism: Topomyia yanbarensis
Lineage: Eukaryota; Metazoa; Arthropoda; Insecta; Diptera; Culicidae
Exons: 3
Source: RefSeq, a predicted model, not a curated record
UUCCAAGCAGAGAUGCCAGAUUUGCAGACAAGUCUGCAAAUUCGCAGACUUUUAAUUUAAGCUGCAGAUUUUUUCGAUGACGCAGAUAUUUGCAGAUUUUCUAGUUUUGUUGCGGAUAUUUGCAGAUUUUUUAGUUUUGUUGCAGAUAUUUGAAUAUAAAGACUUUUGGUUACACUAGCUUUCCUGACAUUUUUGUUCUUCCCAGACUUUUAAAAUUAUUAUUGCAGACAUUUGAAAAAAGUACCUGGCAUCUUUGUCCAAGCAGAAAAUUUUAUUUGGAAUCAAAUUUUAAAUCUUUCGUAAAGCAGUUGCAGUGGUCAGCGAACUAUGUGGACAUAAAUUGAACUUGGUGGAGAACGAGAGUUUUCUCGGGUUGAGUUCAAGCUCCUAUUCUAGUAAUAACACACGUCAAUACGAGUCCCGUCAGUGGUGCACCACAAAAUGUAACCGUUCCCCAAUUAAAGAAGAUAUUCUACGAUUUCGUUGGCGCAGCAGUUUUCAAAAUUAUGCCAUCCCAGGUAAAUCCAGUUCUAUGAAAAAUGGUACCCGCGAAUCGCUGUCCGAAGGAUUGGUCUGUGAGUGCGAACAAAAAGGUGCAAACGGCAAAUAAAAUGCACCAAUCGUUUCAUAUAAUUUUGAUUGUGAAGCACUCCUCGACACAUUUUCCUACAGUGGACUCUGCUACCAAAAGUAUACUGGGAAGUAUGUCAGCAACAUAAAGAGCUAAAGACUACUUAACGGCUGCUUCUGUAAACGGACAUAUUGCUGCCUGGAAAUGAAGAAGUUAAACGGAACUGCACCACGAUAACCGGUGUUCUUAUAUUUGUGAUAGUUCAGUUCAAUUUACGUACUGCUCUGAACGUUCUGACGCAUUUUGUGGAAAUUAUAAAUGUAAAACACUCAAAAAAUAAUCUUCAGCAGCUCAAUUUUCAACAAAAUCGCAUAUGCAGCAGCACCAAUCACCGACAUCAGAUUGUGCAAAUUGAACCCAACGCAUUUGCCUGGUUUGAUUAUGUUCGACGGUUUUUCGUCAUACAGUGGAAACGGCAUUGAUUUCGACAUAAUUUUUAAUAACGAAAUGAUGUACAUCUCCGGUAUAUACGUUGGACAGCUCUUUACGGAAUGAUGAGUGCCGGCGAAUCAACUAUUUGGCAAUAUGUGUGAACAAAAUAAACAAUAGCAGACUUUGUAUGUUUGGCUAAUAAUUUCUCCAAUCUGGUAUCCUGUUGUCCGUCAUCAUUUGUUUGAAGGAUAUGCAAGUUAUACAGUGGAUAUUUGCAAUGCGUUUAGUUGCUGCGGGACGAAAUACGCCAUCAAUUGAUUGAUGCCAUCCAGGAUUGCGAGAAACCUGAAUCGGAGUGAAAUUUCUAGACAAAUAUGUCAAAUGAUGCUAAGUGCAUGUGUAAGUAGUAUAGUAAUAAUUGCUUAGUAUAGUAAUAUGAAUUAUUCAUUGUAUCAUGUUUUCGAUGCACAGUAAAGAUAAUUGUUACCUAAAAUUUAAUUGUGAACGAUGUCGAAACAGUAAGAACAGUAAUAUCUAUAGUUCAUGGAUUGUUUGUAGGGUAAAUGCUAUUGUUAAAUUCCAUUCGGGUAAAGAUCAUUAAAAAGUUUCUUUCUAGAUCUAGACUUAUCAAAUUAAGGAUAUUGAGCGAAAAUAAUACACAUGAAUGCUAUUUGCCAAAAAUCUUAUGCGUGCUUCUUAUUCCGUGUCCCGUCGCUUAUCCAAAGUGUUUACACCUUUUAUUAUACUCUUGUCCAUUUUUGCUUGUUUUCAAAACUGAGUCAGGUUCAACCCCAACUGCUGUUGCUUUUGCCUUUCUCAUAAA